RNAcentral lists this long non-coding RNA (5580 nucleotides) under Hordeum vulgare. RNAcentral's name for it is "long non-coding RNA (HVUL_LNC016367)". The record is from RNAcentral. Lineage: Eukaryota; Viridiplantae; Streptophyta; Magnoliopsida; Poales; Poaceae.
UAUUUUGGGACGGAGGGAGUAUUAUUUCUAUUCCGAAGGGAAAUUAUUCAGCUUGCUUUAGAUGGCUGACUAAUGAAAAUGGAGAAAUAGAGAUCUCCAUUGCGUAAACUCUAAAUUCCUCUAUUUUUACCAAAAUAAUGUCGUGUAUUAAAACGUUUUGGCGUAAUGGUAUGCUACUAUGCUAGUGCUGUUCGACGGUGGCAUCUUUGUGCGUAGUAACAUGUCUACCUUAAUCAUGCGCUUAUGUUUGGGUAGGAACAACAAAUCAUUCUAAUUCUUAGGUUGCACAGUUCAAUGCUACUUUUGGAUCUCUCUAGCUGAUCAGUACUCCAUGCUACCUUCUUAACCUAGACUCUUGAGAUAAAACAUUGGUCUUUUCAUGCUAUAAGCCUAUAACAAUUGCAGAUUCACUUGUUCGACAAUAUUCUUUCAUAGUUUUUUUUGUAUUGAGGUCCAUUGAGUAAGACAUUUGGUUUAUGCAGGCACAUGAGUUGCUAGUUCUUGAAAGGUAUUUAACUGGAAGCUUGCUGUUUUGCUUUGCAAUCAUCAAGAAUGUCUGCCUAAACAUGUCAAAUUUGUACCUGAAGACUAGUUUAUAUUGUUUAAGUAUGACAUAUAAUUAUUAGCCGCCUUUCUCGAAGAACAAAUGGGUGGAUAAAAUAGGUCAUUUUCCUAUGUUUUAUGCAGUGGUCGAUGGUUUUGCUUAGCCUACCUGUUUGUGAAAAACAUAUGCAAUAUUAUUUAUGCAACCUUCCUAUGUUGUUCUCUCUUAGCUUUGUAAGACGGUUACAUUUUCUCUUGGAAUUCUAUUUAACAAAGAGAGUUAUAUAAAUCCGCCUGCCAGUAGUUUACAACAUUACCAUUCUUCUUUUCUCAGAUGAAAAUGAUGAUACGUGAAACAUUUACGCAAUGUCUUAAGGUGGGUGCUUGGCUAUUGUGGAUAUGCUCCAAACACAUCGCUCGACAUCUGUCUUAGCCGUAGUGUUAUGUCUUAGACAGUCAAUUUCUUGUGACAUUAUUAUUUCUAGUAUCAGGCCUACUUUAAUGCUGUAUCCUUUGAUGCUUCAGUUUAAAGAAUAAAGGUGCCGUUGCGAUGUUCAAUCUCCUGAUGUAUACUUUAUUUGUUUGUUUUAUAUAGAGAUGGGUCUAUCUGCUCCAAGGUGAUAAAACGCCGGAAGACCUGCUCGUGUCGUGCAAUCAGUCUGAUAGAAUUUUGUAGAGUAGUGAACUAAAUGAACUUCUGUGGUAAUUUAUUUUAUGACACGUACAAUCAUGGUUCUGUUGGGCCUUUCCAAGUUCUCAGAUCAUAUCUUUUAUCUUGAUAUAAACAUGCAAGGACAAAUUGCAGAGUGAUGGUUGUGUUUGUUAACAACAGUUCCGAAUGCCAUUUAUAUGGUAAGGAUCGAUGAGAAACAUGUUUAAUAAUGCAGUAUUGCCUAUCUGUUGGUAUUUGAUAUUCUAGCUGCAUUCAUACAAGUCAUUUCCCAACCUGGAAUUAGCUUACAUCCCAAUAAAUAGUUCCAAUUCUUCAUUUCCAUGGUCUCAUCUGGCAAUGUUUCUGUGAACUUUGUUUAAAUUUGCAGCUAACUGGACCUAUGCACGUUCUGUGUUAAUGGUUGUGUUUUUUUUUGUACCUGAUUAUACUAUAGGCCGUUUUAUCAACCAGUUGGUUCCGAGUUUGAUGCGAGAGAAUUACGAUAGAUGUAGGGUGAAAGAAUGUGCAAAAAUCACAAGAUUGUGCGUAGUGUGGGCUCACCUUCGAGUGUGUGUAGUGUUUUUCAUUCCAGAUUUUGUUACGUUUUAAAACGUGGAAUUAUCGUGUUGCUUUCUUGCUGUGAAGAAAUCGCUGUUAUAAUGGAAAGAGUUGGUUAGCCAAAUGAGAACCUUUGUAUUCUACUCUGCGUCAAGCGGGAUCGCUGCAUAGAUCACUUGAAUUUUUUGGAAACUAGAGUCGAUUUCUGCAACCACUGACGGCUCUUCCCUUCUACAUCUACGCACUGCCUCUGCCCUCUUAGGGCAUGCCCAACGGAAAGGCGCUUGUUCGAGCGCUUGUGAACCAUGCCUCUUGCACGUCGGUGGAAGCGUCCAUGCCUCUUGCACAACCGAAAACAGCCAGAACUCACUCUAUGCAAAAUUGGACGUUGCACCCGAUGGCAGGCUUGACAUCGACGCCAGCAGAAAUCCUGCGAUUGGACGGGAUUUUAACAUCGAAAAACAGCCAGAACUCACUCUAUGCAAAAUUGGACGUUGCACCCGAUGGCAGGCUUGACAUAGACGCCAGCAGAAAUCCUGCGAUUGGACGGGAUUUUAACAUGAAACCACGGUAAAUUGAACCCUGGCGCCCGUCGUAGGAGCCCCCGAUGUAGAUGUCCUAAGAGCGUCUCCAACCAUUUCAUACAUAGAGAUAUCAACGAGCUAUGAAAAGAAGAUUGCAAACUACUACAUACUACUCUGCUCCAAGUUGUUGGAAGAGAGCUCGACGAACCCUUUGUCGGAGCCGUUCAUCUCGUGGUUGUUGACGGUGGGCGAGUCAAGGGCAUCUCCCCUCUAGUGUUGUUUGUGAAGAGCUCGCCCCGCUCGAUGUCGUGGCAAUGGAUUUUAUGGCGGUUUGCCAUCACCACUCUCUCAGACUCGAGGAUGGCGCUGUUCUAUGGGACAACGGUGUUGUCGACGACGGGCUUGGCGAAGGCAGCAGUUCCCCGUGCUCGGCCUCGAACUGUGCCUUCGUUGCGAGGUGCUCCGCCUCCUCGGCUUGGGCGGGGUCAACCUUCAUGCCCUCCUCGUAUGAGCUCGGCUCCAAAGAGCUUGGAAGUUGGCAGGGCGUUGUGCGGGUCAUGCGUUGUGCAACAACGUGCAACUCCAUCGUGGGUGCCGACCAACAUGAGAAAUCUUAUAUUGUAUAACCUUCUCGUCGACCAUGGCGAACAGCUAGGUCAGAGCAUACGAGGACGCGGUGGUGCGGACCAGAGAGGAAAGGGAGGAAAUGAGGGUUGUUAGGGUUUGGCCCUCGCUAGCCGACUUUAAUAGCCGGAACCUGGCCCUCGGAUGGUGUGCCACUAUGAAUGCAGGCAUUAAACUGGUGAGCUUUGUGGUGGGUCGAUGGGAUUUCGUGUUGGUUGUGGUAGUCGGUCCAACAUGAUGGGCGUGUCCGAUCAGUCUCAAUUCGGCCCCACAUAUGGACUAGAAACGCAUAGUGUCGGGGAUAUUGUCGGAUAGGCCGGGCACAUGGGCUAGGUUUGCAGGGUUUGGUUGGAUGACAAUUUUUUGUCUAAUAAGAUCUUGUUUGAACUGUUUGCUUGAACAUAUGGGGACGAAGUGGAAGAUCCCAUUGAGGAUGCUCUUGUCCAGAACAAACGGUCGUCUCCCUUGCUCAUUGCGCUGCUACCAUGUGGCCUUUGACCACACACUAGUGGUUGGGGCCCGCCAUUGCGGGCCUCCCGAGAGGAAGUUGGGGCGUUGCCAGGUAAAGACAUGUCCCUUUCAUUUUCUUGUUUGUAUCAUAGGGUGUUCUUCUAUCACUCGAAGUACACGCAUUUAAGCCCAUUGACAACCAUGCAAUUAAAUUAAACAAAUCUCUAAAGAAUGCAACUUAUCAUUCACAACCUUUUCACGUGAGAGGAUCAUUGUGUUUUUUCUAAUACAAUGAUUAUAACUUCCCUUGAUAAAGCUGACAAGCUAAGAAAACAUUAUUUUCUACUCUACAAGAGCUUCCAAAAAUGGGAGAGACUCAUGGAAGGCUUAGUAUGAUCCAUGUAAUAUAAGGAAGAAUUGGCGGCGGGGGNGGGGGGGGUGGUGUAAGACCUGCAGAAAACCAAAUGUACAAUGGGAAGCAAAUAAGAACAAUAGCUUAGUAGCAUCACGAUAUAUGUAGUCAUGCAGUCGAUAAGAUACCCCCCAAAAUCUCACCAAAUAUCAUUCUUUUAGUUUAUGAAAAUAAAUCAAAUACCUCACAUUAAUCUCACCAAGCUAAGAGCAAAUUCAAAGCAUGAGUGGGGAGGCAAGGCACUAGAGAGACAAAGAGAUAGCGCCAAAGCUAAUACUUGUGUACAUGUAGCAUCUCAUAUCUCUUGAUGCUCUUUGCUACGGCCAACUACCCAUCAACUCAUGCCACAUCUUCUGCAAAUGAUACAUGUUUGGAAUUGAAAUAAAUUAAUUGUAUUAACAUGGUAUCACUGGAGUUGUGUCUAUUACCACUAACUAAUGAAUUUCCAUUACAAUAUUCUUCUAUGAGCAAUGUGAAAGAAAAUAAUGAUACAGGUUAGAAUAUAUAGACAUGACAUAUUAUGUCAGACUAGACAAAAGAUGACACAUCAAAGAAAAUCAUAGAGAGUUGUAUUCUUCAUUCCUUGCUGCAGUUUAAAUAAAUAUGAUGGAACUAAUCAAUCUUUUUAAUGGCUGCAACAAAUAACUAUUGCCCUAGUAAAUCAAAACUAAUUUUUAAUAGCCACUAAUUUCCAUUAUAUAUGAACCAUCUGUAGUAAUCCAAAGUAACAUCACACAAAACCAUAUAUUUGAAAUAAUAUAGCAACUUAUUGAUCUGGUUGUGCUUCUCUUCCGCACCCUUCAAUCUGAUUGUGUGUACCUAUAAGAACAACUUAGCUGCUUCCACUAAUCAAAGUGAUUGAGUGAUUUAAUGUUGGCAAAAAAAGUACUAUAGAGCUAUCAGGUAAUACAUUGAGAUUCUCUUCAGAAAUAUGUUUGAUUUGGGAUGCUUUCUCCUUUGCAAGAGCUACACCUAGUUUGGAUUUUCUUAACUCUGGGCCUUCUCAACUUAUUGACUUGCCUCGCCGUCCUAUUACGCCAGUCAUAGUACGGUUACAUAAAAAAUUGAUGGGAGGACAGUGCAAAAACUAUGGCACAAACACAUAGGAACGACCAUCCACUUAAAGUUACAAUUUGGGCACAAACUAUGGCAGAAACACAAACUAUGGCACAAAAUUAACAUUGUGGUUUUAAUUGAAUGGAGGCUUUUAUACCACGGCUUAUACAAUUGGGGCAUCAUCUCCUUAUGUGAACAUCAGAAGCGAAAGGAUAAAAAUUGCUAUCAAUUAUGCAUGGGUUGAUUUAGCAAACAAUCUUAUAUUGUCCACUGUUGCUUCAAAAGCUACCCGUAAGAAGAUUCAACAUCAUGGUAUGGAGUCCACCAGAUUUAGAUCCUAAUAGUAGUCGAAUGGUUCAAUCCCAACCCCGCCCAGUUCCUUAAAACCAAAUGGAACAAUUCCGCAAUCCUAAACCCAAAACAACACCAAUAUUCAUACAUGCACACACGUCCUCAUAGUCCAUACCAAAUUUACAACAACUUUGAUUUUCUUAAUACUACUAACAAACAAGAUGUAGGGAGAGAAAGGGCGAGAAGAGUAAAGAUCCAGGUGUGGUAGAGAGGAAAAGAAUGAGCGCACCUGAGAUGGUGAAGGUCAGGUUGAUGCUGGACAUGCCGAUGAUUGGGAGCAGGAGGAGGGAUAUCGGCGUCGUUGCCCUCGUUCUGUCGCCGAACUCCAGCGCUGCCUCCUCAUAGCUGCCACGAACACCCCAAGCCUCCUGCGCCAGAUCAAUACGCUGCCAUCAGUGUCGAGGAAGAUC